Molecule: ribosomal RNA, 484 nt
Filed under: uncultured bacterium
Lineage: Bacteria
Description: partial 16S ribosomal RNA
Rfam family: Bacterial small subunit ribosomal RNA
Source: RNAcentral
AUUGAACGCUGGCGGCAGGCCUAACACAUGCAAGUCGAGCGGAUGAAGGGAGCUUGCUCCUGGAUUCAGCGGCGGACGGGUGAGUAAUGCCUAGGAAUCUGCCUGGUAGUGGGGGAUAACGUCUGGAAACGGGCGCUAAUACCGCAUACGUCCUGCGGGAGAAAGUGGGGGAUCUUCGGACCUCACGCUAUCAGAUGAGCCUAGGUCGGAUUGGCUAGUUGGUGGGGUAAAGGCCUACCAAGGCGACGAUCCGUAACUGGUCUGACAGGAUGAUCGGUCACACUGGAACUGAGACACGGUCCAGGCUCCUACGGGAGGCAGCAGUGGGGAAUGUUGGACAGUGGGCGGAAGCCUGAUCCAGCCAUGCCGCGUGUGUGAAGAAGGUCUUCGGAUUGUAAAGCACUUUAAGUUGGGGGGAAGGGCAGUAGGUUAAUACCUUGCUGUUUUGACGUUACCAACAGAAUAAGCACCGGCUAACUACGUG